UACGAAGGGGGCGAGCGUUGUUCGGAUUUACUGGGCGUAAAGGGCGCGCAGGCGGCCAUUCAAGUCAGGCGUGAAAGCCCCGGGCUUAACCUGGGAGGUGCGCUUGGGACUGGGUGGCUAGAGAUCGGGAGAGGGAGAGUGGAAUUCCCAGUGUAGAGGUGAAAUUCGUAGAUAUUGGGAAGAACACCGGUGGCGAAGGCGGCUCUCUGGACCGAUACUGACGCUG
This 226-nucleotide ribosomal RNA is filed under the name uncultured bacterium. RNAcentral describes it as "partial 16S ribosomal RNA". It matches the Rfam family "Bacterial small subunit ribosomal RNA", at positions 524 to 748 of the family's 1533-position model. The record is from RNAcentral.